This 349-nucleotide ribosomal RNA is filed under the name uncultured bacterium. RNAcentral's name for it is "bacterial SSU rRNA". It matches the Rfam family "Bacterial small subunit ribosomal RNA", at positions 8 to 353 of the family's 1533-position model. The record is from RNAcentral.
AGAGUUUGAUCCUGGCUCAGAUUGAACGCUGGCGGCAUGCUUUACACAUGCAAGUCGAACGGCAGCACAGGGAGCUUGCUCCCGGGUGGCGAGUGGCGCACGGGUGAGUAAUACAUCGGAACGUGUCCUGUUAUGGGGGAUAACUGCUCGAAAGGGUGGCUAAUACCGCAUGAGAACCUGAGGGUGAAAGCGGGGGAUCGCAAGACCUCGCGCAAUUGGAGCGGCCGAUGCCCGAUUAGCUAGUUGGUGAGGUAAAGGCUCACCAAGGCGACGAUCGGUAGCUGGUCUGAGAGGACGACCAGCCACCACUGGGACUGAGACACGGCCCAGACUCCUACGGGAGGCAGCA